RNAcentral lists this ribosomal RNA (252 nucleotides) under uncultured Bacteroidales bacterium. RNAcentral's name for it is "partial 16S ribosomal RNA". It matches the Rfam family "Bacterial small subunit ribosomal RNA", at positions 524 to 776 of the family's 1533-position model. The record is from RNAcentral. Lineage: Bacteria; Pseudomonadati; Bacteroidota; Bacteroidia; Bacteroidales.
UACGUAGGUGGCAAGCGUUAUCCGGAUUUACUGGGUGUAAAGGGCGUGUAGGCGGGCUGUUAAGCCGGCGGUAAAAAUUCAGGGCUCAACCCUGUCGAGCCGUCGGAACUGGCAGUCUUGAGUGGGCGAGAAGUAUGCGGAAUGCGUGGUGUAGCGGUGAAAUGCAUAGAUAUCACGCAGAACGCCGAUUGCGAAGGCAGCAUACCGGCGCCCAACUGACGCUGAGGCACGAAAGCGUGGGGAUCGAACAGG